This 1019-nucleotide ribosomal RNA is filed under the name human gut metagenome. Its description in RNAcentral is "bacterial SSU rRNA". It matches the Rfam family "Bacterial small subunit ribosomal RNA", at positions 510 to 1520 of the family's 1533-position model. The record is from RNAcentral.
AGCAGCCGCGGUAAUACGUAGGUGGCGAGCGUUGUCCGGAAUAACUGGGCGUAAAGGGAGCGUAGGUGGAUGAUUAAGUUAGGUGUGAAAGCCCGAGGCUCAACUUCGGAAUUGCACUUAAAACUGGUUAUCUAGAGUACAGGAGGGGUAAACGGAAUUUCUAGUGUAGCGGUGAAAUGCGUAGAUAUUAGGAAGAACACCGGAGGCGAAGGCGGUUUACUGGACUGCAACUGACACUGAGGCUCGAAAGCGUGGGGAGCAAACAGGAUUAGAUACCCUGGUAGUCCACGCCCUAAACGAUGAUUACUAAACGUGGGAGGUAUCGACUCCUUCCGUGUUGAAGCAAACGCGAUAAGUAAUCCGCCUGAGGAGUACGGCCGCAAGGUUAAAACUCAAAGGAAUUGACGGGGACCCGCACAAGCAGCGGAGCAUGUUGUUUAAUUCGACGCAACGCGAAGAACCUUACCAAGACUUGACAUAUAUAGGCAUAGUAUAGAGAUAUACGAAAGGGUAGUAAUAUUCACUAUAUACAGAUGGUGCAUGGUUGUCGUCAGCUCGUGUCGUGAGAUGUUGGGUUAAGUCCCGCAACGAGCGCAACCCUUACAUUUAGUUACUACUAUUCAGUUAGAGGACUCUAAAUGGACAGCCGUAGGUAAUACGGAGGAAGGUGGGGAUGACGUCAAAUCAUCAUGCCUCUUACGUCUUGGGCUACAAGCGUGCUACAAUGGCUAUAACAAAGAGAAGCGAAUCGGUAACGAAGAGCAAACCUGGAAAAGAUAGUCUCAGUUCAGACUGUGGAUUGAAACUCAUCCACACGAAGAUGAAGUUGCUAGUAAUCCCGAAUCAGAAUGUCGGGGUGAAUGCGUUCCCGGGUCUUGUACACACCGCCUGUCACGCCAUGGGAGUUGGAGGGACCCAAAGCCGGUGAGCCAACCGAGCAAUCGGAGGCAGCCGUCUAAGGUAAAGCCAGCGACUGGGGUGAAGUCAUAACAAGGUAGCGGUAUCGGAAGGUGCCGCUG